UCAUUAAAAAUUCAUAUUUGAAAUAGAAUUUGCCCUAGGACAUGUGACUGCUGACUUUUGAUUGAAUUAUAGGAAACUGGGAAAAUAGAAGCCAGUCAAGUUACAUUGGUACUUUGGAAAGAUAACAUGUUGCUUGAGUAGCCCUGAGACUCUCCACUGAGGUUAUAACAUUGGAAUAAGCAAGCUUCUGGACAGAUCUUUUGCAAAUUCUCCCAACUCUUGUUAACUAUCACAUUUAUCUAUGUGACAUUUGCCAUAUUAUGGCCUCUAAAAGAAAAUAGCCAGAAGCAACUUACUUCAAAUGCAAUCGCAAACAGGUUUUUUUCUUUUUUUGGGGGGUAGAUAUGUUAACCAUACUUCUUCUUCCUGACAUUGCUAAUGAAGCAUAUGAGUAAAUACAUAGCACCGUAUUUGCCCAGGAAGUUAUUUGUUCAAUGGACAAAGAAAUAAGUGAAAUAUCAAAGAUCCGGGUGUGCCAAGGUGUGUGGUAGAUUUGCUAAAUGAAGUAGUAGAUCUUUAAGAGAACUUUCAGGAGAGUUCCCAUUGUGGUUCAGUGGUAAUGAACCUGACCAGGAUCCAUGAGGAGGCAGGUUCAAACUCUGGCCUUGCUCAGUGGGUUAAGGAUCCGGCGUUGCCAUGAACUCUGGUGUAGGUCCUGGACGUGGCUCAGAUCUGGCAUUGCUGUGGCUGUGGCUGUGGCAUGGGCCAGCAGCUGCAGCUCCUAUUCAACCCCUAGCCUGGGAACUUCCAUAUGCCUCGAGUGUGGCCCUAAAAAGCAAAAAAAAAAAAAAAAAAAAAGGAAUUAAGCAGAAUUAAGCAGGUGUUUCUAGCUCCCGAGAAUGCGGACCUUACAGCAAACCCACCAUCAGAACCAUAAGAUAAAAGAGUUUUAACCAAGAGUCAGGAGUGAGCUGAUGGAGAAAGGGCUUUGCAGAGAAAAGCCAGCGAGGACAUCCUUCAAGGACACCUUGGUGCUGAUGCUGCCCCUCCCUCUCUAUGAGAGCAUGGCCUUGCUGGGGUUGAAUCAGGCUAGAGACCCAGAGAUGUCCCAGAUGUUACUGGGCAUAGAUCAUUGGCAUAGCUUCCUCCCAUAUGGUGCUACAAGUCCCUAGCAAAGAAGGCAGAGUGGUCAAAAGAAAUUGAGGUCUUCAUUUUGUAAGAUCCUGCUUUGCAAAGAAUGUGUCAUUCCUCACCUCUGUUCACCCACUAGUAGUGAGUACAGGGCUAGUGAGACCUGGCUGAGGUAGGGCCUCUGCUUCUGCUUGGGGCCCAUCGUGUCUCCCAAGGCCCAGUGCUUGGGCACGUCAUCUAACCUCACAGAGGGUCUGGUCAUGGCCUCUUCCUGUCACACUUCAGCCCACCUGAAGUGAUGCUGGAGCAGUGCAGGCCACUUCUGCUGGAGAUCUGCUAGAUAUCUGGUGGGGGAAAGAGGCAUGAAAGUAGAUUUCAUAAGUCAGACUUCAACAUGUUAGAAACUAACAUGGUGUCUAAAUGCCUGUUCCCAGCAAUCUGGGUCAACAGGAGAGAUUUGCGCUGCAUCAAUUAGCAGCUCAUGUGAUUGAGGUCAUAGUCUUCCCUCCCGUGUUGUGCUGUUCGCCUUCCUCCCGCCCUCCAGAUCGCUGUGAAUCCACAGUCAGGUUUACUUUCUCUGUUUUAGAUCAAAGCAUCAUAUAUUCUGAAUGUAUCUGACAACAGUUACUUUUGCAGUAGAUUUGGUCUCAUCCUGUUUUUAUAGCCAAAAUGGCUUAUUUCUUGAUCGUGUGAAUUCUUAGCAGGAAGUAAGUCUUGUAAGUCGCUGUGUUAAGUCAGAACUAGAAAAAAAAAAAAAUUCAGCUCAACCCAGCAAAAUCCCUACUCCUGAUUGUUAAUGUUAUCCAGAUCUCCUCCGCCGCGUAGAAUGAGGACUAUCUAAAACAUGUUUUGUGCCAGACAGGAAGAGUAGGUUUUAAAAAUUGGUAUUAUCAAUUUGACUCUAACAAGACAACAUUCAGAUUGGUGGAUAACUGAGGAAGGAAAAUAUUUCAUAAAAUGAAACUUCUCUACCCUCAUUUAUUCUAAAAUUUUAGCGGAAAUGAAUCCGACUAGGAGCCAUGCAGUGGCGAGUUUGAUCCCUGGCCUCACUCAGUGGGUUAAGGAUCCAGUGGUGUUGCCAUGACCUGUGGUGUAGGUCGCAGACGCGGCUGGGAUCUGGUGUUGCUGUGGCUGUGGCGUAGGCUGGUGGCUAUAACUCUGAUUGGACCCCUGGCCUGGGAACCUCCAUAUGCGUGGGUGUGGCCCUAAAAAGACAAAAAGAAAAUUAUAACAAAAGGUGGCUUUUGGGUUUCCAUCUCUAAUAUACUACCUUUGCUGUUUAAAUGAAGUUGGACCAACUUUAUUUUGUGAAUGGCUGAAGAGUCUUGGGUACCAUGUUGAGUGUUCUUUUUUUCCCCCUCAAAUUUUGAAAAAGGGACAGCAAGCUCCAGUGUCUACACUUUGCAGUCAACAUUGGUGGAAUACAGGCAUUUGUAUGUGGGGUUUGCACAUCUCUCCCCCAAAACAUGGUCACUGGUCAUUCCUUGGGAAGGCCAUAGUCCCCGUGUCCCAUCCACCCAUAUCCUGCCAUUAUUCCAUCCUGUUCCCAUAAAGGCUACACUAGCCGCGGUAGCUACUCUUCUAGAAUCCAGUAUCUGACUAUUCCCUGGAACAAGUCACAGGGAAUUAUACAUCUUUUCUGGAAUUGUACUUUCUUUUUCUUCUUACAAUAAGGGGUUGUCCCAAAUAAGCACUAAUAUCAUUUGCAGAUCUAUUGUGAUAUGGUUCUGUAUUAAAUUAACUGUAUUGCAUUCAGGAAGUCAAGUUCAUGGUUUUUUCACUUCCUCUGAAUCAGUGAGAUUCACUCUAUUUCCUAGUGACAGAUCUUACCCUUCAUCUCUCAUUUGUCCCACAAAUGUUCACAAAAAGAGGAUGCUAGAUAACGGUGGUAGAUGGAGCCAUAUUCUCUGCCAUAGGAGAAACAUGACACAGAUGACGUGAUACUUUCACUAGCAACACCUUCCUAAACCUGAGAAGCUUUGUUCAUUUUCCCCCAUUGUUGUUCCUUUGGAUGUUUAUAGGGUGUCACCAUGUAUAUCCGCACACAUACAUCUAUUCUUGGAUGCAGGGGAUAGAACCAGUAUCCCCAAGCCACAUGAAGUGGGAGACCAUGAAGCCUGGUCCAGCAGCUGGGGAGAUGAGAUAAGGAAUAACAAUAUGGGUCUUCCAGAAGUUGUCAACAUUUUGUCUGGAGGAGCCUGUCUUAGUGGGAGAAGGAGAAAUAAGCCUUUAUUCAUGAAAACCCAGAAUGCCCCGUCCUGCCAUUUCAUGGCAAUUCCUAAGUAAUAAUCCUUUCUUUAAGGAGCAGGAAAAAGAGGUUUGGCUUCUAGGCUAAAAGGGAACCAUUCAAGAUCGGACCAGGGCAGAAAUGGAGCUGUUUCAAGACGACCUUUGCACCCCUUCAUCCGUGUGCCCAAUCUGAUUGUUAUAAGCAAUAGCUACGUUGAUGCAUUUUAAGGUCUCUUGGACCACACAUCCUCUGGACAAAUUAUGCCCAUUCAGUGCACAAUUUUGUUGGUAGUCUAUGCGGUGUGGAGGGAAUAAAACUUCUAAUGUCCAUGAGGUAAUGCUAUGCUUCCCAUGGCACAAUAAGACUCUGAGCUGUUUGAGUGAGUUGGUGAUGAGGAACGAAUCAUUAAAUAUAUACAGAAACCCCCCAAAAUAAUUUUUAGGCAUGAAUAAAGAAGAUGUGGUACAUAAAUACAAUGGAAAUACUCUCAGCUAGAAAAAAGAAUGAAAUAAUGCCAUUUGUAGCAACAUGGAUGGACCUAGAGAUUGUCAACUAAGUGAAGUAAGUCAAGAAAAAUAUCAUACAGUAUCACUUCUAUGUGGAAUCUAAUAAAAAUGCUGCAAAAGAACUUGUUUAUAAAACAGAAACAAACACAGAUUUCAAAAUCAAAUUUAUGGCUACCAAAGCGGAAACCAUGAGGGGGAUUAUUAGGAUGCUGGGAUUAACAUAGAUACACAACUAUAUAUAAAAUGGAUAACUGAAAAGAAUCUGCUGUAUAGCACAGGGAAAUCUACUCAAUUUUCUGUAUAACCUAUAUGGGAAAGUCUGAACAAGAAUGAAUAUGUGUAUAUGUAUAACUGAUUCACUUUGCUGUACACCUGAAACUAAUACAAUAUUCUAAGUCAGCUAUACUCCAAAAAAGAUUUUUUUAAAGAUUUUUGUAUUUUUUUCUAAACAACUCUCCUACAAAUAAGU
Molecule: long non-coding RNA, 4276 nt
Filed under: Sus scrofa (pig)
Lineage: Eukaryota; Metazoa; Chordata; Mammalia; Artiodactyla; Suidae
Description: lncRNA (ENSSSCG00000058869.1)
Source: RNAcentral